Molecule: ribosomal RNA, 253 nt
Filed under: uncultured bacterium
Lineage: Bacteria
Description: partial 16S ribosomal RNA
Rfam family: Bacterial small subunit ribosomal RNA
Source: RNAcentral
UACAGAGGGCCCGAGCGUUAAUCGGAAUCACUGGGCUUAAAGCGUGCGUAGGCGGACCCGCAAGUACUUUGUGAAAUCCCACGGCUCAACCGUGGAAUUGCUUGGUAGACUGCGGGUCUUGAGGUCGGUAGGGGCUGUCGGAACUCUAGGUGGAGCGGUGAAAUGCGUAGAUAUCUAGAGGAACGCCCAAGGCGAAGGCAGGCAGCUGGGCCGAAUCUGACGCUGAGGCACGAAAGCGUGGGUAGCGAACGGG